UAGGUUUUAUUAAUUUACAUUUACAUGAGUACAGCUUGUUGAUAAACUUUUUCCUUUAUUUUGAUGAAAAUGUGAAGUCAAUAUGUGAUAUUUUGUUCAGUGAAAAAUAGCUAAUUUUAUGUACUAAUUAUUUCUUCUCUUAUGUCAUCUAGUUUUUAGUAUGGUUUUUAAGUUUUUAGAAUGUGCAAUUUUAAAUGUAAUCUUGGUGGGAAUAUUAGUUACUAUGGUUGAGGAAUUUGGGAUCUGAGGCUGAACUUGGUGGCUCAGUUGAUAUGAACAACCAUUUUCUAUUUUCAUUCUACAUGUUUUCAACUCUGAAAAUUUGGAGCAGUUGAAAAAGAAAAUAAAACGCAAUCGCAGCAUAUUAUGAUCCUCUAAGUGUAGUUCCUACAUUUAUAUAUGUUCCAAAUAUGGUGCAGGUG
This 422-nucleotide unclassified non-coding RNA is filed under the name Hevea brasiliensis (rubber tree). The record is from RNAcentral. Lineage: Eukaryota; Viridiplantae; Streptophyta; Magnoliopsida; Malpighiales; Euphorbiaceae.